GUUCCAUGGAAGCACUAGGUUGUUCAGGUUUAACGCUGGACUUCUCAGACGGGAGGGAGGAACUGGGUUCCAUAGGAGCACUAGGUUGUUCAGGUUUAGAACUGGGCUUCUCAGAGGGGAAG
Long non-coding RNA from Sinocyclocheilus rhinocerous, 122 nucleotides. RefSeq lists it as uncharacterized. The transcript has 4 exons. Lineage: Eukaryota; Metazoa; Chordata; Actinopteri; Cypriniformes; Cyprinidae. The record is from RefSeq and is a predicted model, not a curated record.